UACGGAGGGGGCUAGCGUUGUUCGGAAUUACUGGGCGUAAAGCGCGCGUAGGCGGACCUGCAAGUCGGGGGGUGAAAGCCCGAGGCUCAACCUCGGAACUGCCUUCGAUACUGCGGGUCUCGAGUCCGGGAGAGGUGAGUGGAAUUCCUAGUGUAGAGGUGAAAUUCGUAGAUAUUAGGAAGAACACCAGUGGCGAAGGCGCUCACUGGCCCGGUACUGACGCUGAGGCGCGAAAGCGUGGGGAGCAAACAGGG
This 254-nucleotide ribosomal RNA is filed under the name uncultured bacterium. RNAcentral describes it as "partial 16S ribosomal RNA". It matches the Rfam family "Bacterial small subunit ribosomal RNA", at positions 524 to 777 of the family's 1533-position model. The record is from RNAcentral.